Molecule: transfer RNA, 73 nt
Filed under: Planctomycetaceae bacterium
Lineage: Bacteria; Pseudomonadati; Planctomycetota; Planctomycetia; Planctomycetales; Planctomycetaceae
Also listed under: 2 other names
Description: tRNA-Phe
Rfam family: tRNA
About the family: Transfer RNA (tRNA) molecules are approximately 80 nucleotides in length. Their secondary structure includes four short double-helical elements and three loops (D, anti-codon, and T loops).
Source: RNAcentral
GGGCAGAUAGCUCAGUUGGUAGAGCACAGGACUGAAAAUCCUGGUGUCGGGGGUUCAAUUCCCCCUCUGCCCA